CUGCAUUUCUCUCAAAAUUAAAUAAAUAAAAUUUUUUUAAAAAGAGGCUAACACAGAAAAGUAAAUUAAAUCUCCAUAAAACCCAGGGAAGAGAUUGCAAAGCUCUUCUUUAGAUCCUUUCUGGAGUCACAGCA
RNAcentral lists this small nucleolar RNA (134 nucleotides) under Erinaceus europaeus (western European hedgehog). RNAcentral's name for it is "Small nucleolar RNA SNORA26". The stretch from base 29 to 134 matches the Rfam family "Small nucleolar RNA SNORA26". Rfam says of the family: The snoRNA HBI-6 belong to the H/ACA family of snoRNAs, guiding the pseudouridylation of position U4522 if the 28S rRNA. HBI-6 is the human orthologue of mouse MBI-6 snoRNA. Lineage: Eukaryota; Metazoa; Chordata; Mammalia; Eulipotyphla; Erinaceidae. The record is from Rfam by way of RNAcentral.